UUCUCCUGCUUUUCUCAAAAAAAGAAGAAGCGGGGUUUGGUGUGAAACAGCAAGCCAAGUCAAGUAUUAAUUACCUUUGUGCCCUGUGUUAUAGAUUACAUAAAAUAACAAACCGGAAAGUAAAAAAAA
Molecule: non-coding RNA, 129 nt
Filed under: uncultured eukaryote
Lineage: Eukaryota
Source: RNAcentral